RNAcentral lists this non-coding RNA (24 nucleotides) under Arabidopsis thaliana (thale cress). Lineage: Eukaryota; Viridiplantae; Streptophyta; Magnoliopsida; Brassicales; Brassicaceae. The record is from RNAcentral.
AGCAAUUUAAACAGGUGUCGCAUC